AGUAGCGGCGAGUGAAGCGGGAAGAGCUCAAAUUUGUAAUCUGGCGUCCUUCGGGCGUCCGAGUUGUAAUCUAUAGAAGUGUUUUCCGUGCCGGACCAUGUCCAAGUCCCUUGGAACAGGGUAUCAAAGAGGGUGACAAUCCCGUACUUGACAUGACCACCGGUGCUCUGUGAUACACUUUCUACGAGUCGAGUUGUUUGGGAAUGCAGCUCAAAAUGGGUGGUAAAUUCCAUCUAAAGCUAAAUAUUGGCGAGAGACCGAUAGCGAACAAGUACCGUGAGGGAAAGAUGAAAAGCACUUUGGAAAGAGAGUUAAACAGUACGUGAAAUUGUUGAAAGGGAAACGAUUGAAGUCAGUCGUGUUCUUUGGACUCAGCCGGUUCUUCCGGUCUAUUUCCUUUGAACGGGUCAACAUCAGUUUUGUCCGGUGGAUAAAGGCAGGAAGAAAGUGGCUCCCUCGGGAGUGUUAUAGCUUUCUGUCACAUACACUGGAGGAGACUGAGGACUGCAGCUCGCCUUUUGGCCGGGGUUCGCCCAC
Molecule: ribosomal RNA, 537 nt
Filed under: Vanrija musci
Lineage: Eukaryota; Fungi; Basidiomycota; Tremellomycetes; Trichosporonales; Trichosporonaceae
Description: eukaryotic LSU rRNA
Rfam family: Eukaryotic large subunit ribosomal RNA
Source: RNAcentral